Molecule: small RNA, 47 nt
Filed under: Caulifigura coniformis
Lineage: Bacteria; Pseudomonadati; Planctomycetota; Planctomycetia; Planctomycetales; Planctomycetaceae
Description: Acido-Lenti-1 RNA
Rfam family: Acido-Lenti-1 RNA
Source: Rfam by way of RNAcentral
CCAAGGGCUGACGCCCUUGGCUAUUCAGUGACGCCCCUGUCGGGGCU